CCCUCCGUAGGGGAACCUGCGGAGGGAUCAUUACAGAGUUGCAAAACUCCAACCCGUGUGAACGAACCUUCAACCGUUGCUUCGGCGGGCUCGCCCGCCGGAGGCACCAAACUCUUUGAAUUUACAGGCGUCUCUGAGCAAAAAACAAAAUAAUCAAAACUUUCAACAACGGAUCUCUUGGCUCUGGCAUCGAUGAAGAACGCAGCGAAAUGCGAUAAGUAAUGUGAAUUGCAGAAUUCAGUGAAUCAUCGAAUCUUUGAACGCACAUUGCGCCCGCCGGUAUUCCGGCGGGCAUGCCUGUCCGAGCGUCAUUUCAACCCUCAGGCCCCCCGGGGCCUGGUGUUGGGGCGCCCGGGUCCUUAACCGGCCCGGGGCCCCCAAGUACAUCGGCGGUCUCGUCGGUACGCCGAGCGCAGUAAGACGCGGUAAAACGCGCCCCUCGCCCGGACCGUAUCGGCGCGCACCCGCCGCUAAACCCCCCAAUUUACAAGGUUGACCUCGGAUCAUGUAGGAAUCCCCCCAUU
RNAcentral lists this ribosomal RNA (524 nucleotides) under Pyricularia sp. 16d. RNAcentral describes it as "eukaryotic LSU rRNA". The stretch from base 158 to 311 matches the Rfam family "5.8S ribosomal RNA". The record is from RNAcentral. Lineage: Eukaryota; Fungi; Ascomycota; Sordariomycetes; Magnaporthales; Pyriculariaceae.